ACGGGAUCUGAAAAACACCCAGAGGAUCCCAUCCAGGAUCUCACAGAGCUUUUAGUCAUUGCAUCUCCGUUAUAAGUCUCCAAGCUGAGAUGGUGCCUCCGUUCAGAGAGUAUUUAUCAAAAAUGUUUUCUCCCGAGAUUGUGGCUGUUGUAAAGUACAUCUGAUUGUAUAGGAGACAGACAAUUGAACGUUAAAAUCACAGCUUGAACCAGCUAUGUCAAGAGUUUGAAACUCACUUUUUGCUGCUUUGUAUAUUGAAACAAAUACUCCUAUUACAAGUCAUUUUUAAAAAACUACAAGUAAUUUUUUGAUUCUAAAACAUCGGGGGUUUUUUUUGGCCCUUAAUUGAGAUAAUGGCUUGAAGAGUGAUUCAAUUUAGAAGAUGCUGUAUAUGAAAAUGCAAGUAACAAAUUGAGACAUAUCUUACUGAUUUAUGGCUUCAUUACCCAGAAUAUUGGCUUUUGCACCCUGUAAGCAGCCCCUUGAAUAUAAUGGCUGAAGGGAACUCUGAUGUAUCUGAAAGCAUCAGAAAGGGAUUUCCGUAGAGGAUAUAAUGUUUAUAAUGUUUUCCUUUAGUGCUGUUUCAUAGUCACCUUUCCCAAAUCAACUCCAUUUUGGUGAACUUCAUGUAAUGAAAUGAAACU
RNAcentral lists this long non-coding RNA (644 nucleotides) under Sus scrofa (pig). RNAcentral describes it as "lncRNA (ENSSSCG00040047175.1)". The record is from RNAcentral. Lineage: Eukaryota; Metazoa; Chordata; Mammalia; Artiodactyla; Suidae.